RNAcentral lists this ribosomal RNA (253 nucleotides) under uncultured bacterium. Its description in RNAcentral is "partial 16S ribosomal RNA". It matches the Rfam family "Bacterial small subunit ribosomal RNA", at positions 524 to 776 of the family's 1533-position model. The record is from RNAcentral.
UACGUAGGGGGCAAGCGUUGUCCGGAUUUAUUGGGCGUAAAGAGCGUGUAGGCGGCCAUGUAGGUCCGUUGUGAAAACUCGAGGCUCAACCUCGAGACGCCGAUGGAAACCAUGUGGCUAGAGUCCGGAAGAGGAGAGUGGAAUUCCUGGUGUAGCGGUGGAAUGCGCAGAUAUCAGGAGGAACACCAAUAGCGAAGGCAGCUCGCUGGGACGUUACUGACACUGAGGCGCGAAAGCGUGGGGAGCGAACAGG